RNAcentral lists this ribosomal RNA (405 nucleotides) under uncultured bacterium. RNAcentral's name for it is "bacterial SSU rRNA". It matches the Rfam family "Bacterial small subunit ribosomal RNA", at positions 355 to 776 of the family's 1533-position model. The record is from RNAcentral.
UGGGGAAUAUUGCACAAUGGGGGAAACCCUGAUGCAGCGACGCCGCGUGGACGAAGAAGCAUCUCGGUGCGUAAAGUCCUGUCAGCAGGGAAGAAAAAAGACAGUACCUGACCAAGAAGCCCCGGCUAACUACGUGCCAGCAGCCGCGGUAAUACGUAGGGGGCAAGCGUUAUCCGGAUUCACUGGGCGUAAAGGGAGCGCAGGCGGCACGGCAAGUCAGGUGUGAAAGCCCGGGGCCCAACCCCGGGACUGCACCUGAUACUGCCGGGCUGGAGUGCCGGAGGGGUAAGCGGAAUUCCUGGUGUAGCGGUGAAAUGCGCAGAUAUCAGGAGGAACACCGGUGGCGGAGGCGGCUUACUGGACGGCAACUGACGCUGAGGCUCGAAAGCGUGGGGAGCAAACAGG